Molecule: long non-coding RNA, 719 nt
Filed under: Homo sapiens (human)
Lineage: Eukaryota; Metazoa; Chordata; Mammalia; Primates; Hominidae
Description: novel transcript, antisense to PCGF3
Source: RNAcentral
GCAUUAGGAAAAAACUGACGAAAAGAGCAAAAUAAAAAAAUAAAGCAGGAACCAACUCACAUCCUCCAUGGAAAAUCGUGGAAUGUGUAAGGUAACGUGCCAGCUAAAAAAGUUUGAUUUUUUUAAAAAACCUAGCUCUACGUUGUAAACAGUGUCACAUUUAAGACAUUUUAAGAACAGAAAUAUCACACAAGUAUUCACCAACAGAAAGCUGGCAUAGCUAGAUUAGUAUGUCAUGGGACUUUAAGAAAUAGAGCUUAAUGAGGAAGAAGCCCCCCAAAGACGAGAAACGUUUCUAUACGGGAACACAGCUGGUGACAAACGCACGCCAACAGAAUGGCCAUGGUGGGCUUCACGUCUCUAUAAGCAGCGGACGCACCCUGCCCUCAACAGGCAGCCGCCGUCUCCGACUCAGGGAACAGGUGUGCCAGCCACGCAGGCACAGGUCUGAGGCAGCGGGGUCUGCAGUGCAUGGGGCCCGCAGGGCAGCAGGAAGGGCUGCACAGAUGAACGCGGGCCUGCAUGCACCUGCGGGAAAACGCAGACACACAUGGGCGGGGGUGGGAGUGGGGGGGAUUGUGGAAGGAAAACAAGAAGAAAAUAUGUUUACGUUUGCUCAGAUUUGCAUACAUACAGGAGGUGAUCACAGUGGUUCUCUAUAGGUCACUACAGACAGCGGCAGAGAUGAGAACAAAAUUAAACCUUUUCAAUAAUACUAA